Molecule: ribosomal RNA, 253 nt
Filed under: uncultured bacterium
Lineage: Bacteria
Description: partial 16S ribosomal RNA
Rfam family: Bacterial small subunit ribosomal RNA
Source: RNAcentral
UACGUAGGGGGCAAGCGUUGUCCGGAAUCAUUGGGCGUAAAGCGCGCGUAGGCGGCCCGGUAAGUCCGUUGUGAAAGUCAAAGGCUCAACCUUUGAACGCCGAUGGAUACUGCCGGGCUAGAGUCCGGAAGAGGCGAGUGGAAUUCCUGGUGUAGCGGUGGAAUGCGCAGAUAUCAGGAGGAACACCAAUAGCGAAGGCAGCUCGCUGGGACGGUACUGACACUAAGGCGCGAAAGCGUGGGGAGCGAACAGG